Molecule: long non-coding RNA, 8692 nt
Filed under: Theobroma cacao (cacao)
Lineage: Eukaryota; Viridiplantae; Streptophyta; Magnoliopsida; Malvales; Malvaceae
Description: long non-coding RNA (TCAC_LNC005967)
Source: RNAcentral
CUCAUUUACCUUUAAAGUUCUUAAUUCAUAGUUUUCAAAAAUAAUCUCUUCUCAAUAACAAAUCAUGGCUACCAAAUAUAUAUCAUUCACAAAAUAAUAUUACCAUCUCCCAACCUGUGGCAACAUUAUCAUGCUAACCAAACAUACAGUGUUUACAACAAAUCUAAUCAAUUACAUUUAAAUAACCAUAUACACAUACAAAAGACCUUGAAUAUUAGCGUAGUGACUUUAGCGUGGAUACUAUCAUGGGGUGUGCUGGUAAACCUACCAGAAGAUGAACUGGAGGAAGCACUUUUACUUAGGAUCCAACAACCUUCGAGCCUGAAAACUAAAACAAGAAGUUGAAAAGAAUGAGUAUAAACCCAGUGAGUGAACAUAGGAAGGGAACAAGCAAACGAUAAGGAGAGUUUAGAAAUCAUGAUGCACUUAUAUUAAAAACAAUGCAAUUUAGUUUAAUUCCUCAUAAAACCCCUCAAUUCGACCUUUGAUUAUUUAACCGCUUAGUGUUGAAGGAUCCAUGAUCCAUAAUGAAAUCGAAAAGUAAGAACCACAGUAAAUAUUCAAGCAAGACAAGCAACACAAAGAGUUUUUUUUUGUUGCAUUGCAAAUCAAUUUGGAAACAAUUAACAAUUUCAACAUUCAACAUUCAUUGCAAUCACAUAUUAUUUUCUCUAACAUUUCUAUGGUAUGUAUAAACAUGUAUACAACUACUAGCUCAUCAGCUCAUGUGCACUCCCACACUGCACAUAGCUGGAAUCAUCAUCAACCUGUCAUCAACUCAUGUGCACUCCCACACCGCACAUAACUAAAAUCAUCAUCCACCAAUCAUCAGCUCAUGUGCACUCCCACACUGCACAUAGUUGGAAUCACACGUCAUCACCGGCAUGUGCACUCCCACAUUGCACACAAGCGGUUACAAUUAUCACACAAUAUUAUCAUUCAAAGCAUAACAUAUAUAUCAUCAGAAUAUAAGAACACAUGGGUUCAUCACAUUACACAUUUUAUAACAUAAAAUGUUUCAUCAAAGGCUUGCUCCCAAGCAUGAUUUAGAGAAAAAAAAUCAAAUAAAAUGAUUUAAGUGCUUUAUCCUAACACAUAUGUAUUUCCCCAAAACAAUUUAAUACAAGUUCACUCACCUUAACAAUGCCACCUAAAAAGACUAGCACCCACAAGAUCUUAAUCCAGGUAGUCCCAAAAUACCAUUAAAACCUAUAAUUGCCAAUAAACAAUAAUAGCUUCAAAUAUAUCAUAAAUUUAAACUUAAUAAUUCUAAUAAGCAUACUCUUGAUAAAUUACAUUCUAGCCUAAUUUUUUUAACCUAGAAUUCUAAUCGAAUUCUCAAACCCAUCAUAUCAACUAUUCUAAUUUAAAGGUUUUGUACCUUGGUGAGCUUGGAGUCAUAAAAAUCAACAAAAGCCUAAUAUUUCCAAGAAAAAGAAUUUGAAGAAAUUAGAAAAUAAUAUAUGAAAAUAUAACCCAUAAAUUCAUAAAUUCCAAGAGUUGAAAAUAUAUACCUUUUAGCCUUAAAAAUGGAGAUUUAAAGUUGAAAAUUCAAGUGUCGGUGAUGGUGGAGUAGAAAUAGAAGAUUAAGGAAAGAAAGAGAUAUUUUUUCCUUUUCUCUCCUAGGGUUUGGUUGUGCUAGAAAAUGGGGCUAGAAGCUGUAGGUUUGGUGCCCAAGAAGUUAGGAGAAGAAAGAAGUAAGAAAAGAAAGGAAAUGAAAAGAAAACAAGGAAAAUCAAAUGAAAAAAAUUUUAUUUUCAUGGAGGUAAAAUGAAAAUGGAGUUGGGUGGGUGAGGAAGAAGAAGAAAAUAUCCUUUUGGUGAAGAUGAGAACCGGUCAUGGGAUAAGAAUGAAGAGUCAAAGCUUCCUUUGGAAGCUUUGACCUAACCAAUGGCAAAAUUACCAUUUUACCCUCUAAGGUUUUCACCCUUUUUAAUUGUAUUGUCCUUUAAUCUUUUAAUUCCAAUUUCUUUCCAUUUUUCUUCCUUAACACUUGUACAAAUAAAAUGUCAAGUUUAUGCUUCAACACGAUAUUACCGUAAUAUUUAAAUAUUUGCUUACCUGCGCUAGCUUUAUUUAAUAAAGACACGCGAGCCCCAUUAACGUCAUUUUUCUCUGAAAUUUUCUCGUUCUUCUUCUUCCCCACUUAGAUUGACCAUAUACUCCUUCUUCAUGGAAAAUUUUGACACUAAAUAAAAUAUUAAUAUUUUAAUAUUAUUUUAUUAAUAAAAUAUUAUUUUAUUCCAAAAUUUUCCACUUGUCUCCUUGGCAUCCAAAAUGUCUUAUUAUGCCCCAAGUCACUUCCGAAUCACUUUUUAUAUCGUUAAUUCACCCUCAAUAAAAAUAUUACUGUUUAAUUGUUAUUUCUUCACAUGCGGAAUAUUUUACUCUAGAAUAUUCAUUUCACCUUUCAUCACUUUUAAACAUUCUAAUUAACCUCAAUUGGCAUCCGAUAAGCUUUAUUAGCCACCAUAUCAAAGUACAGGUAUUACAGUCUCCCCCACUGAAAUAGAAUUCAUCCUCGAAUUCAUGUCAGUGUUGGGUUAUUAAUCUCACUCUAUGAUCUUAUUCCAUUCCUUACUUUAUAGGGAAUUUUGAUUUAUCCACCACGUUUACCUCUAGUUCGACUAGAAUACUUCACUUAUGUCUAUUAUCAUCAUUUAGAAUCAAAUCGGUGGUACCCUUCAUAAUCAUUAUCUCUUAUAUUAAAAUGCAGAGUAUGUCUUUAUCACCAUCAUUAUAUUUGAACCAUAACUCCAUCUCAAUCAUACCUAUUUCGAUCACAUAUUAUACUUACUUAUGUAUACCUAAUUACCAUCUUAUUACUUCAUUCCUUGUCAAACUUUUCGACGUUCAUUCAUUCAUCUUAUCCCCAUACACUAUUAUAUAGCUCACAACAUUAUAGACAUACCAUAUUCAUUCUUGCACGUAUUUCUCGAUGUUGGGAGGGAGGUUAAUGCCUUCAAUUAUUCCCACAUACAUCAUGUUUACCUUGCAUUUAUGCAACUUCAAUCUUCUUAAUCAUAUUGGUCCAUCUUGUAUGGCUAAACCAUGCUAUAGAUUACAUUUCCUUGAUAUCAUUUCUUUGACUAUUUCUCCAAAAUUUCUUAUAUCAACAUAGCUCAACUUCUGAUGGGAUUUCUUAUCGUUGUACUAUAUAUACAACUCAUCAAUUAUACUGAGUUCAAAUCUCGAAUCACUAAGAACAGUUCUUUACUUUAGUUAGGCACAUCACUAACUCCACACAUACGUAUGUACACGCACAUUUAAGUAUCAACAUUCCUUAUUAUGUGUGGGAAUCCUUGUAUUCAAGUGCCUUCGAACUAAAUUUCCCUUUAUUCAUUCCCAUCUAUAACCAAGAUUCAAUAUAAUAAUCCUCAUAGUGUAUGUCAACAUUCUGAUAUUCAAUCUACAAACAUUAAGGUACAAUCAAUUUCAAAUUGCCUUUUUUCAGUUGUUUAAAUUACCAUUCAACUUGCGUCCUACCACAAGUUAUCUCUUAUGUAAUCCAUACGACUUCUCCUUAUGCCUAUGCAUAACCUCACAUCAUUUUCAUGCUUAUACUCUUUUCUUAUCAUUUCUAAUUAUAUGCUUAAGUGUCAUUGGACUCUAUAUCAUUGCAUCAUAAUGUCAUUAAUCACAUCUCACUGCUAAAAGUCAUUUUCAUUAAAUUGCAAUCCAGUAUGUGUACAUGCUUUAUAAUCUCAUUGAUCUUUCAAAGAUUCAUCUUUACUUGAUCAUUACAUCUUAUACAAUACCAUAUUCCCUAAAAGUCAUCCUUAUUUCUCAAUUAUCUUUCAUGCCUCUAACAUAUACAUUAUAUCCUUAUUGCAUUUCGAUAUUAACCAAUCACUUAAUACUUAGACUCAUUCGAAUCAUACAUGCCGCAUGCAUUUUCGAAUUUCAAUUUCCAUAAUACAUUAGUAGGUUUUCAUUAUCCAACUUCAUUAUCAAGGUUACCUUCAACCAUCCUUUGUACUAUUCUCUCAUACUAAUAUAACAUCUUUCUCCCUUAGCCCAUUGACUAUAUGUACUUGAAAUUUCAAGACUGGAAACAAGGUUUUUCUCAAGUACCUUUUAAUGUCAAUGUGAGUAUCACUUUCAGCUUACGACUUCCCUUUUGUAACAACAUAACUUAAUGCUUGUUUUCACAAGAUUCAUAUCAGGAUUCCUCUUGAGUAUUUCCUUGUAGAUACCUACCUUAAACUUAUGUCUCACCUCAUGUGAUCACAUAACCCAUGGUUUAGCCGUUAGGCUUUUUAGCAAGUUUCAAAAUCCCACUUAUUAUACUUGCCGUGUAUGAUUGGUAAUGCCUUCUCAAGGAUGUUCAUGCAUACCAGAAGCACUUAAUCACAUAUUUGCUCUUUAACAUUCUGAGUAUAUCAUUCCAAAAAGGCAUGCACUUAUUCACCAAGAUAUUUAAAUUCAUGCUCAACUAUUCAUACUUCAAUUUAUCUUCAAGGGCUUUUAGUAUGCCACAUAAUUAGCCUUAUGUUGUUACUAAUCCUUUUUCAUUCAACUAAGUCGAGGUAAGAUUUAUAAAUCCGCAUGGCGAUACUUUGUUUUAACUCAUUUUCUAUGCCACCCUUGUAAUCCUUCAUUCACAAUUUCAUCACUUGGUAUUGACAUCCCUUGUCAAUGUCUUACACAUUCAUCUAACCUUUCACUCACUUUUUCCUAAGCCUUUAACAAGGCUUAAUCUCUUGUCUUCUUUAUUUCUUAGGAUUUGACUUUAGUCAACAUAUUAUUCAUCUUAAUACUUCACAUGGUAGUUUAUCUCAAUGUAGCAGUCUCGAGAACUCUCUAACUUCUCUUUUACUUACAUGGCAAUAUAUAAGGCAAUAAAGAAACUUUUCAAUUCACUCAUAUAAAUACUUUCCCAACGCACUUAAAACUGCAAAUAACAAAGCUCAACAUUAAGAUCAAUAACCAUAAUUCAACUUGUGAGUUUCAUCUUCAUGCCACUCACAAUUUGCUCAUGCUUUUUAGCCAUGAGGGGUUCUUAACGCGGCAGCGUUGGGCAGUCAGUGCUGCGGCGCUAUGACUAUUGGAAAUUUCUUCAUCAAGGCUAUUUGUCUACAUUUAAGGUCACUACAUUGAUCAUCCUCAACCAUCUGGUUUUUUCCUCUAGGCAUAUAUCACAAUUCCCACUAGCACAUGUAUCGUCUCAAUUCUUAUCACCCAUAAUUAAUUGUCUUUCUUGUCUUGUAAAUCAAAUAGUUUAUUGACUUUAGGUACAAAACCCAUGAAAAUAGUUUAUCUUUCUCCACACUUUAUACUCACAAUCCUUAUUAAAUCAAGAAUUCAUUUUUCCCAAUUUUCAUAAUUUACCUCCAUUGGUCUAUAUUGUGUCAAAUUAUAAUUUUGUAAUGUCAUGGCAUCACGUGCCUCCAUCCUUACUACCCAUCAUACAUUCAUAAAAACAAUUAAAAGACUUACAUACCUUUAUCUUCCUUCAUGCAUUGUACAACUCUUUAAGGCCUACUUAUACACUAUGGCCACUUGACCAAUGAGUUAUCGUUUCAACCCAUUUCCUGUUUAUCCCUCAUAUAUCCCUUAACAUUUCUCAUCCAUAGGAAUAUCAGGUUACAAUUCCCUCAAUACUUAAGUUUACAAUCCUCGACUUAAUCACAUUAACCAUUCAAAGUGUCAUCUAUAAUCUCAUUAAUUUCUCUCAUAUCUUUCCGAAUUGUAGUUGCAAUUGAGAUUUCAAAUUUCACAUUUCCAUGAUUAAUCUGUAAUCGUUUGUCAGUUCUUGUAGUUGCUUGUACCAUUAAUGACUUUUUAUGUCAACCUUUAAUAAUUAUCUAAGGCGACCAACCACACCACUAAAGUGAAUAUCCUUCAUCAAUCAUUAUAUUGCUAGUCCACCUCUAUCAUACCAAAAGAUUCCCAUAUGCACCAAGUCAUUUAAACAGCUACUUCAUAAUCCAUUCAAGUCACAUGAAAAUAAGAGCCAAACUCUUAUGCCCUUUGUACAAACAACUAUUACUACUUAGAUUACACCGCAUUUACCCAGGCUUAAACUAAUACAAAGUUGAACGAAAAUAUUAAGUGUCUUUAAGAUCAUCAUUGCCUUGAUCCGAGCACAUCUACGGAUGCUCUUCCGAGUCUUUUUCUACCUCCUGAGAUUUCUCCAUUUUAUCCUUAAUCCAAGCUUGCUGUAUUCUCACGCAUUCCUCCCUACUCACAGGUACAGCACCUCUUCCACAACCAAGAGGAAAGUCUCGGUAACCUGACACCUUGCUUGGAUGAUAACCCCUUGCCAUUGCCUCCUUCAUCUUUUCCUUAAACAUUACCGAAAAGAAACUAUUUUAUGCUUUCCCAAAUCUUAGUGCUUACCUCACUUUCAGAGCUCUCACUACUUUCGAGGCUUUCCUACUCUGAAACAAUAUUUCUAAAUUCGAUGGGACAUAUCCAAUAGGAAUCCGAGACUGGCCACUUUCCUGACUCCCUAGAUCCCGGCACCAUUGCCUCAUAGUAGUGGAAUCUAGCAAUCCCUCAGUAGUACUAUAAAGGGUAUUCAAACUACCGUGGAGUCUAAACAUGGCGCGUGUAACAGGCGCACCUCCAAACCUAUACGUAACCAAGCAUCAAUUGCUUAGUCAUUUAUGCAUCAUAGGAAUCGCUAGGUUUCUAAUGAAUUAGGAGCCUAUGUAGCCUCCCGUCCUUGACUUGUGUUCUACACCCACAAUCCAAGGACAAGACUCUACACUAACUUCAACAACUCUACUGACAACCACAAGAACCACUAAGACUCAACUAAAUCGAGAGCUCUGAUACCAACUUUGUCACAAUCCAAAUCCCGAGCCAUGACCAACACAUAAACCCAAUAGGCAUGGCCCACUAUGCCCAAGCAAGCCUUUCUAUGCAAACUUAUUCAUUAAACCAUCUGUCCUUCAUUUAACUCUAAAGUUCUUAAAUUCAUAGUUUUCAAAAAUAAUCUUUUCUCAAUAACAAAUCAUGGCAACCGAAUAUUUAUCACUCACAAAAUAAUAUUAUCAUCUGCCAACCUGUGGCAACAUUAUCAUGCGAACCAAACAUACAGUGUUUACAACAAAUCUCACGAAUUACAUUUCAAUAACCAUAUACACAUACAAACGACCUUCACUAUCAGCGGAGUGACUCUGACGUGGAUACUAUCACGGGGUGUGCUGGUAAACUUACCGAAAGAUGAAUAGGAGGAAGCACCUCUACGUAGGAUCCAACAAACUUAGAGCCUAAAAACUAAAACAUGAAGUUGAAAAGAAUGAGUAUAAACCCAACGAGUGAACAUAGGAAGGGAACAAGCAAACGAUAAGGAAAGUUUAGAAAUCAUGAUGCAAUUAUGUUAAAAACAAUGCAAUUUAGUUUAAUUCCUCGUAAAACCCCUCAAUUCGACCUUUGAUUAUUUAAUCUCUUAGUGUUAAAGGAUCCAUGAUCCAUAAUGAAAUCGAAAAGUGAAAAUCAUAGUAAAUAUUUAAGCAAGACAAGCAAAAUAGACAGUUUUUUUUUGUUGCAUUGAAAAUCAAUUUCGAAACAAUUAAAAAUUUCAACAUUCAACAUUCAUUGCAAUCACAUAAUAUUUUCUCUAACAUUUCUAUGGUAUGUAUAAAUAUGUAUACAACCACCAGCUCAUCAGCUCAUGUGCACUUCCACACCACACAUAGCUAGAAUCAUCAUCCACCGAUCAUUACCUCAUGUGCACUCCCACACCGCACAUAGCUAGAAUCACCCGUCAUCACCAACAUAUGUACUCCCACACCGCACAUGGGCGGUUACAAUUAUCACACAAUAUUAUCAUUCAAAGCAUAACAUAUAUAUCAUCAGAAUAUAAGAACACAUGGGUUCGUCACAUUACACAUUUUACAACAUAAAACGUUUCAUCAAGGGCUUGCUCUUAAGCAUGAUUUAGAGAAAAAAAAUCAAAUAAAAUCAUUUAAGUGCUUUAUCCCAACACAUGUAUUUCCCCAAAAUAAUUUAAUGCAAGUUCACUCACCUUAACAAUGCCACUGAACAAGACUAGCACCCACAAGAUCUUAAUCCAGGUAGUCCCGAAAUACCAUUAAAACUUAUUAUUGCCAAUAAACAAUAAUAGCUUCAAAUACAUCAUAAAUUUAAACUUAAUAAUUCUAAUAAGCAUACUCUUGAUAAACUACAUUCUAGCCUAAUUUUUUUAACCUAGAAUUCUAGUCUAAUUCUCAAACCCAUCAUAUCAACUAUUCCAAUUUAGAGGUUCUUUACCUUGGUGAGAUUGGAGGCAUAAAGAUCAACAAAAACCUAAUAUUUCUAAGAAAAAGAAUUUGAAGAAAUUAGGAAAUAAAAUCUAAAAAUAUAACCCAUAAAUUUAUAAAUUCCAAGAGUUGAAAAUAUAUACCUUCUAGCCUUAAAAAUGGAGAUUUAAAGUUGAAAAUUCAAGUGUCGAUGAUGGUGGAGUAGAAAUAGAAGAUUAAGGAAAGAAAGAGAGAUUUUUUCCUUUUUUCUCCUAGGGUUUGGUUGUGCUAGAAAAUGGGGUUAAAAGCUACAAGUUUUUUUUUUUUUUAGAAGCUACAGGUUUGGUGCCCAAGAAGUUAGGAGAAGAAAAAAGUAAGAAAAAAAGGAAAUAAAAAGAAUACAAGGAAAAUCAAAUGAAAAAAAUUUGAUUUUCGUGGAGGUGAAAUGAAAAUGGCAUUGGGUGGGUGAGGAAGAAGAAGAAAAUAUGUUUUUGGUGAAG